RNAcentral lists this long non-coding RNA (218 nucleotides) under Musa acuminata (dwarf banana). Its description in RNAcentral is "long non-coding RNA (MACU_LNC010724)". The record is from RNAcentral. Lineage: Eukaryota; Viridiplantae; Streptophyta; Magnoliopsida; Zingiberales; Musaceae.
GUGAAAACUUCCUACAUUCCAGAAGUUCGAUGACAUUGAGAAGGUGAAUCACAAUAACUAACUCAAUGCAAGGAGUGCAAACACUUCAAGUGCUUCAGAAGUGUGAGCAAAGAGCAGGAGAAAGCUAGUAACCAGCUUGAUGUAUGAAGUACAACCCUCGAGGAGGCGGGCGAAGUCAAGUAACUUUUGCCUUCUCAACUCUUAAGAGAAUGGGCGAA